UACGUAGGGUGCAAGCGUUGUCCGGAAUUAUUGGGCGUAAAGAGCUCGUAGGCGGUUUGUCGCGUCGACUGUGAAAACCCGAGGCUUAACCUCGGGCCUGCAGUCGAUACGGGCAGACUAGAGUUCGGUAGGGGAGACUGGAAUUCCUGGUGUAGCGGUGAAAUGCGUAGAUAUCUGGAGGAACACCGGUGGCGAAGGCGGCAUCCUGGACCGGCAUUGACGCUGAGGCGCGAAAGCUAGGGGAGCAAACGGG
This 253-nucleotide ribosomal RNA is filed under the name uncultured bacterium. RNAcentral describes it as "partial 16S ribosomal RNA". It matches the Rfam family "Bacterial small subunit ribosomal RNA", at positions 524 to 776 of the family's 1533-position model. The record is from RNAcentral.